Molecule: unclassified non-coding RNA, 240 nt
Filed under: soil metagenome
Description: partial contains 5.8S ribosomal RNA, internal transcribed spacer 2, and large subunit ribosomal RNA
Source: RNAcentral
AACUGAUACUACCUGCGGGAACCUGCGGAAGGAUCAUUAACGAGUUUUGAAGUGGGAUUGAUGCUGGCCUUCCGAGGCAUGUGCUCGUCCUCGCUCAUCCACUCACAACACCUGUGCACUGUUGAGGUGUGGCCCCCCUUCAAUGGAGCCGUUCCCCCCUAGGGGGUCGAGCCGGGGUCAGGCCUUCUUCGUCACAAACAACUUGUGAUGUCUAUUCGGAAUGUAAUGCUUCAUGUUAAU